This 253-nucleotide ribosomal RNA is filed under the name uncultured bacterium. RNAcentral's name for it is "partial 16S ribosomal RNA". It matches the Rfam family "Bacterial small subunit ribosomal RNA", at positions 524 to 776 of the family's 1533-position model. The record is from RNAcentral.
UACGGGGGGGGCAAGCGUUGUUCGGAAUUACUGGGCGUAAAGGGCGCGUAGGCGGUUCGCUAAGUUGGAUGUGAAAACUCUGGGCUCAACCCAGAGCCUGCAUCCAAAACUGGCGGGCUAGAGUUCUGGAGGGGGUAGCGGAAUUCCUGGUGUAGCGGUGAAAUGCGCAGAUAUCGGGAGGAACACCAAUGGCGAAGGCAGCUCGCUGGGACGGUACUGACGCUGAGACGCGAAAGCGUGGGGAGCAAACAGG